RNAcentral lists this long non-coding RNA (5173 nucleotides) under Olea europaea subsp. europaea. Lineage: Eukaryota; Viridiplantae; Streptophyta; Magnoliopsida; Lamiales; Oleaceae. The record is from RNAcentral.
AUCAGACAGAGAAAAUUUCCCUCUUACAUUGAUAACAAAGUUUAUGAGAGUAAGGCCAUAUUUUAAGGCUUAUACCAUUGAGUUAUUAACUAAUUAUUUGUUAUGUCAAGGUUUUUCAAAGCCCAACUCUUUAUAAAAGUCGAUGAAGUGGACAAUUGAGCUAAGUCUAUUUGAAGUCUAUUUGAAAUCCAAUUUCAACUGUGAACGACUACCAAGGGUCAGGCAUUAGCAGAAUUUCUUGCAUUAUUUACUGAGGGACCUAUCUUUCCUAAAGAUGUCGAAGACCCUGGGUCAAUGCUCAGAGGAUAUGGAAGCUAAUUUUUGACAACUCAUCUGGAAAGACAAGAUCGAGAGCAGGGACGAUCCUAAUGAUUCCAGAGGGACAUCAUCUGACUUGCACCCUAAGAUUCGAUUUCCAAGCCUUAAUAAUGUAGCAGAGUACGCAGAGUUUAUAGUUGAUCUAUAAUUGGUGAAAGGAGAUAAAAAUAAAAUAGGUACAAGUUAAUAAUGACUCCCAGAUGCUAGUGACUUGGAUGGAUGGGAUCUUAGCCCUGAAAAAUAUCUUGACAAGUUUGAAAUCCUUCAAGUCUCUCUAGUAGAUAACAGAAGCACCGAUGCUCAGUCCAACCUAGCAGAUAACAUAGAUUCCGAGUUGUGGAAGGUAAUUCUAAUGGAAUUUCUAGAGAAGCCCUCAACCAAGGCCAGAGAUGAGGUAAUGUUUAUUAUUCAACAGCCUAAGUGGAUGAAAGAUCUCUCAAAUUACUUCUUGGACCAGAGCUCCCAUAUGACUAGGUUAAAGCCAAAAGCUGAAGCUGAGAGCAGCUCGUUUUGUAGUAAGGAUGGAAUCCCUUGCUACACUGAAUUGGAGGAGACGAAGUAGAAUACCUAUUGUUGUGGUAGAUAGAGGAAUUCGUAACAAUGGAGAAGGUGGUUUAUCAAUAGCCUUAAAAAUUUUGAAGUAGAAAUACUACCGGUGGAUCCUAAAAGGUUUGUUUUGGUACCUCGUGCUUUAAUUGAUUGUAAGUUAGAGCAUUUCUAGUUCAUAAAUUGGGCCAUUAUAUAUAAUAGGUUUUUGGUGCGGAUGUAGUUGUAGUGGAUUUUGAUAUCAAUAACAUAUUAUGAAUUAUGAUAUAUAAAUUUGACCAGCAUCAUCUGAGAUUAAUUGUUUUGAAGUUCAUAAAGAGAGCUCAUUAUAUUUAAGAUCAGUUAUCCUUUGGGUAAUUAAAUUAGCUAAAUGAUCAUAAUGCUUGAAUAAGGAUAUCAAUUACUUUGGCAUGUUUGGUAAGCAUUACUGCAUAGGGUCUUACAGCACAGUGGACAUGAUUUUAGCAUCUUUCUGUUAUGUAAUAUUGUCUAAUAUUAUGCAUUCCACCUUAUUGCAAAAGCCAUUAAUGUCUAGAUCAUAUCUUCCAUUCUCCAUAACGUAAAUUCACGAGGAAUGUUGAACAUUAUGGUUGUUCCUUUUAAUUUGCUUUAUAAGUACACUGUUUAUAAUAUAUAAACCGAGAUUCUUGAUAGUUCUUCACAAUAUUACGUACACGCUUGCUUCUUUCUAGACUAUCUUUUCUGUUGUUUUACUUCGCUUAAGAUAGUUAUAUUACAACGUUGAGACGUGGUCCGCUUGUAUCGUGUUUUUUGCCUUUUAUUGUUACAGUUAAAUCUAUUAUGUAGAUUAAUUAAUUAUUUUUUGCAUUAAAAGUCAUCGUGUGGGGUGACGUUAGGUUUGGGGUUACCGUGAAGGGGUAACCAUUGUGUGUUGCUAGAUUUAGGAAUUAUUUGCCUUAAAUUCUUUGUGAAUGUUAUGCCAAUUUUUCUACACUGUUAGAAUUGCAUAUAACCUUAGGAAAGUUUAUUUGAUCAUUCUAUGUGAAUUAUGUUUAUAUUUUUGCUUGCGAUCAUUAUUUGGUAUUGAUGACAUAUAUAAGUCUAAAGCAAGUGAGAAAAAUAAAACAUGUUUUGACUGUGGUAAAAUUGGACAUGAUGAGAUAGAUUAUCCUAGUAAUAAUAAUAAAAUGAAAGAUAAUGAGAGAGGUGGGGCUAAUGUGGUUAUAGGGUCCAGUGAUGACCUGUGUAAGGUUUAUUGAGAGUAAACUUGGUUACUGCAUUUACAUCUGUGUGUAAUCAUUUCUAUAUUCAUGUGAUUGCUUAAUUACGUUGCGUUGGUAUGUUACACUUUCAAUUUGUUUGAUGUGUAUAAUUGCAUGAAUUAGAGUAAUAUUAUUACUUUGUAUAAUGUGUUUGCAUGCAUAGUAGGUCAAGUUUUAUAGCAUACUCCGUUUGCUCUAUGAGUGGUGUAAGAGUGCGGUAGUGAGAAGAAAGAUGGACAGUCAUUUUCUCCUUUAUCUCUGUGCGCCUGUGUGGUUUGCGAGAUUGUGUGAGGCAACCAGGUAGGAUUAUCUUCUUUCUCUUUGUGAGCUCCUUUUGUGAGUGUAGUGAAGUAACCAAAUCUUUCUUCUAUUCCCUUUAUGAGUACCACCUUCGCAAUUUUCUUUGUGGGUUCUUUGAGUAUUGGUGUUUGGGGUAACCUUGUGGUGCGUGAGUAAAUUUAAAUUAAGCCUAACCUUUAUGGCCGCCGAAAGGUGUUGAUUUGUCAUAGUGAGUUUGAGAUGCAUUAGCAGUAUGUUGAGUGUCUAUUUGUAAGGUAGAGUAUAGAUGCCUGAAGGUGAAUUGGUGAUAUGCAUGGGGAUGUGAAAUGCGACAUUUGGAUCAUGAGUUGAGAGGUGAUUAAAUGUUAGAAUCAUUUAUUUGUGAAAAGACCCUGUACAGGUGGAGUGUGAGAGAUACACUUCUAUCACUUAUGUUAGGUGGAGACCCAUUAUCCACGUAAGUUGGGCUAAGUAAUGUGGUGAUAAAGGAUUAUCCCUAGAACUUAGGAUCUAUUAUAAUUUACUGGUUAGAUGUAAAUUGAGUGAUCAGUUUAGUGAGAUUAGUGGGCGAUGAGAGGAGAUAUGCGUUCUCAAGUUGUGAGCAACACGGAAUGUGAUAGGAUAAGUGUGGUGAGAUCUUUUCGUAGGGUCAUUUAUGCAUUUGUUGCAUAUGUGUUUGAUUAACCUGGCUUUAAUCUGUGGUUCUAUGUGAACGUGUCUCUGAAAAGAUCUAUGUGUGUUAUCCUAUAAUAUAUCAUCAUCGUAUGCUCAUUUGCUCUUAAUUGUUUGCUGUGAAUAUUUGCUUCUACUUGGGUGUUCUUGAUUUUAGCCCUGGUGAGUACAUAAAGUAGGUAUGGUAUGUAUUUUCAGGUUGGAAACAUGAGAUAAAGUCUGUGAUCCAAUUUUAUUAGUUAUCUUUAUUAUGCAAGAAUAAACUUUAUGGUUUGAUUGCUUGCAGAUUUAUUGAGUAUCAUGGUGGAGAUUUGUUGGGUUUUGAUACUCAAUAAAUUUGGGUGACAAUUUAAAACAGUUGUCAGAUAAUUUAUCGACACCAUAGACUUGAUUCAACUCGAAAACGACCUAUACUUUUGGAUGCCCUAAGUUUUGGGUUAGAUGUUUUUUUUUUAUUGUGUGGUCCAUUUAUUUGUAAUUAAGUGGUAGCCCAUCUGUAGAGAAGACUGUGGCCCAAUCUAUAUGAGUGACCUAAUGUCUUGCUAUAUAUAUGUUUUGUUCCUAGCCGUGUCUUCGUGUGUGUGUAGUAUGCAAGAGAGAAAACAAGAAAAGAAAAGAGAAAAGCAGUCGACUUUCUUCGGAGUUAGAGAGCUUGGAGUGUUUUUUGGUGUCUUCCUUUAUCUUUCUCCUUCCUUUGCCGAGUGCAUACACCACCACCAUAGUCUCCUUUGUGGAGUGAAACUUGUAGUGACCAAGUGUGGAAGUUUUAGGUCGAAUCGAGAUAAACUGGUGUUCGUUUGAUUGUUUUCUCCUCCAAAAUCAAGAUUUCUUGAGAGAUUUCCAUGACAAUUGUGAUGUAAAGGAAGAGUUUCCCAAGCGGUCAAACUUCAUGGAAGUGGUGCCUCUACUUUAUUCCAGUUUUUACCAAAAAAGGAAAAGGCCCAAAUUUGCAUAAGAAAUUAUGUCUUCAAACUGGGCAAUUCAGCUCCUAUUUUUCUAAGUGAGAUAAUUGAAAUGAGAAUUCACGCAGCAAUUCUCUUAUUAUCUGUUUUAAUCCUUAAAGUUGUUGUCCAUAUCACAAGAGAUUAUGCAUAAUUUCUCUGACAUGUUAGCUCGAACAACUUUCUUACUUGAGUUUUAUUGCCUAUGUCUGUGAACUUAUCAUCUGAACAAAAUUUAGUGCAUAUUUCAGGGUCAUUCGCAGGUUUUGGAUUUUUGUCAUUGUACUUAUCUUGUAAAAUUAAAGCGUUUGAUCAGAGGGGUCAUGUAGCAAAACUAUGCAUUGUUUUUCUUCCUAUCCUUGUUGUAUAUCUUGUUGGCAUUUCCCGUGUGGAUAACUCCUGGCAUCAUUGGCAAGAUGUGUUUGUCGAGGGUCUUUUAGGUUGGUUCUUUGCUGUCUGUUAAAUUACUAAAGUUAAGUCGACCAGAUUAUUUUUCAUCUUCACAUGCAUUACAUCUCUACAUCUGUAUACCUUUUCAGGUCUUGUCGUUGCUACAUUUUGCUAUCUAUAGUUUUCCCACCUCCACAUCACACUGAAGGUAGAAUUUCCACUUCGUUCAUAUUCUAUAUUUUGCUCCAUUUAAGACUCCACAGUGUGAAUUCUGUUUUGCUGGAUACACAUACAACACUGAUACAUUAUUACGAAGAACCUGUAGCGAAAUUGAAGAGUUUUCAGUUACUAUUGAAUCCCAUUACACAAAUUAUCAUUGACGCUGAUUUUGUUGGGUUAGCUUUUUGAUAGGGAAGACAUUCCAAGGACGAAAUGCCCUAGCAGUGAAUAGAUUGUCUCUUUCAUCAUUUUACAAUAGAAAAAAGUAGUAUAGAUAUGAAAAAUGUGAAAUUUCAAAUGACACAGGAAACAAUAUUUAAUCUAAGGAGAAGUUUCUGUGUUGCAAUGCACUUUCGCAGAAUGGGGUCCUUAUGCCUAUUUCUGAGCGGAGGAGGAAUUUGGUUCCAACCUACAAACAGUCUAAUCUGUGAAUGGAAGUAGCAAGCAACGGGUAAAUCGGCAAUCUAUGCCGAGCAACGUGACAUAAAAUCACAAUUUGAAUGAUGACAUGGAGUGGAGUCUGGUAGAAGGUAGAUAAAAAAUGUUAUUUAGCUCCAAUGGAGUUACAAACUCAGUCUAGAUGGC